CCUACGGGGGGCAGCAGUGGGGAAUAUUGGACAAUGGGCGAAAGCCUGGUCCAGCCAUGCCGCGUGUGUGAAGAAGGCCUUCGGGUUGUAAAGCACUUUCAGUGGGGAAGAAAGCCUUGGGGCUAAUACCCUCGAGGAAGGACAUCACCCACAGAAGAAGCACCGGCUAACUCCGUGCCAGCAGCCGCGGUAAUACGGAGGGUGCGAGCGUUAAUCGGAAUUACUGGGCGUAAAGCGCGCGUAGGCGGUCUGAUAAGCCGGUUGUGAAAGCCCCGGGCUCAACCUGGGAACGGCAUCCGGAACUGUCAGGCUAGAGUGCAGGAGAGGAAGGUAGAAUUCCCGGUGUAGCGGUGAAAUGCGUAGAGAUCGGGAGGAAUACCAGUGGCGAAGGCGGCCUUCUGGACUGACACUGACGCUGAGGUGCGAAAGCGUGGGUAGCAAACAGGAUUAGAUACCCGAGUAGUC
This 465-nucleotide ribosomal RNA is filed under the name Vreelandella stevensii. RNAcentral describes it as "partial 16S ribosomal RNA". It matches the Rfam family "Bacterial small subunit ribosomal RNA", at positions 338 to 795 of the family's 1533-position model. Lineage: Bacteria; Pseudomonadati; Pseudomonadota; Gammaproteobacteria; Oceanospirillales; Halomonadaceae. The record is from RNAcentral.